UACGUAGGGUGCAAGCGUUGUCCGGAAUUAUUGGGCGUAAAGAGCUCGUAGGCGGUCUGUCGCGCCUGCUGUGAAAACUCGGGGCUUAACCCCGGGCCUGCAGUGGGUACGGGCAGACUAGAGUGCGGUAGGGGAGACUGGAAUUCCUGGUGUAGCGGUGAAAUGCGCAGAUAUCAGGAGGAACACCGAUGGCGAAGGCAGGUCUCUGGGCCACUACUGACGCUGAGAAGCGAAAGCAUGGGGAGCGAACAGG
This 253-nucleotide ribosomal RNA is filed under the name uncultured bacterium. RNAcentral's name for it is "partial 16S ribosomal RNA". It matches the Rfam family "Bacterial small subunit ribosomal RNA", at positions 524 to 776 of the family's 1533-position model. The record is from RNAcentral.